GACGAACGCUGGCGGCGUGCCUAUCACAUGCAAGUCGAGCGAGUGGAUCUCCUUCGGGAGUGAAGCUAGCGGCGGACGGGUGAGUAACACGUGGGCAACCUGCCUCAUAGAGGGGAAUAGCCUUUCGAAAGGAAGAUUAAUACCGCAUAAGAUUGUAGCUUCGCAUGAAGUAGCAAUUAAAGGAGCAAUCCGCUAUGAGAUGGGCCCGCGGCGCAUUAGCUAGUUGGUGAGGUAACGGCUCACCAAGGCGACGAUGCGUAGCCGACCUGAGAGGGUGAGCGGCCACAUUGGGACUGAGACACGGCCCAGACUCCUACGGGAGGCAGCAGUGGGGAAUAUUGCACAAUGGGGGAAACCCUGAUGCAGCAACGCCGCGUGAGUGAUGACGGCCUUCGGGUUGUAAAGCUCUGUCUUCAGGGACGAUAAUGACGGUACCUGAGGAGGAAGCCACGGCUAACUACGUGCCAGCCGCCGCGGUAA
This 480-nucleotide ribosomal RNA is filed under the name uncultured bacterium. Its description in RNAcentral is "partial 16S ribosomal RNA". It matches the Rfam family "Bacterial small subunit ribosomal RNA", at positions 28 to 523 of the family's 1533-position model. The record is from RNAcentral.